Molecule: ribosomal RNA, 776 nt
Filed under: uncultured Neocallimastigales
Lineage: Eukaryota; Fungi; Neocallimastigomycota; Neocallimastigomycetes; Neocallimastigales
Description: partial large subunit ribosomal RNA
Rfam family: Eukaryotic large subunit ribosomal RNA
Source: RNAcentral
AGAGAGAGACAUGCGCGCAUAUCAAUAAGCGGAGGAAAAGAAACUAACUAGGAUUCCCCUAGUAACGGCGAGUGAGGCGGGAAGAGCUCAAAUUUGAAAUCUUAAAGGUUUUCCCUUGACGAAUUGUAGUUUAAAGAAGUGUUUUCUGUUGGAGGUUUUGGUAAAAGUUCUUUGGAGUAAGGACAUCAUAGAGGGUGAGAAUCCCGUAUUUGACCUUUACUUUCAACUUUGUGAUACACUUUCAAAGAGUCGGAUUGUUUGGGAAUGCAGUCCAAAAUGGGUGGUAAAUUUCAUCUAAAGCUAAAUAUUGGCGAGAGACCGAUAGCGAACAAGUACCGUGAGGGAAAGAUGAAAAGAACUUUGAAAAGAGAGUUAAACAGUACGUGAAAUUGUCAAAAGGGAAGCGUUUGACACCAGUGUUGUUUUUCUGAAAAUCAAUUAAAGAACUGUUUAUGCUAAGUUGUUUAGACUUUAUCAGCUAUCUGUUUAGUUUUGAGCUUUUCUUUAAUGCACUUUUCAGUUAACAAGUCAACAUCAAUUUCUUUUGCUGUAAAAAAGCUUGAGGAAGGUGGCUUGAGAUUCGUCUUAAGUGUUUAUAGCCUCUUGCCUAUGCAGUCGGAGAGAUUGAGGUCUGCAGCGUAGAUCCUUCGGGGCUAAAUGCAUUUGUGCUAAGUUAUAGCAUUUUAUAGACAACUUGUUGACUAUGAUUUGUCUUGUAGCUUACUCGCUUAUGUUAUUUUACCUACGCUUAGGAUGUUGACGCAUGAGAUAUACGC